CGGGUGAGUAAUGCAUAGGAAUCUACCUAGUAGUAUAGGAUAGCCACUAGAAGUGGUGGGUAAUACUGUAUAAUCCCUGCGGGGGAAAGAUUUAUCGCUACAUGAUGAGCCUAUGUUAGAUUAGCUAGUUGGUGGGGUAAUGGCCUACCAAGGCAGUGAUCUAUAGCUGGUCUGAGAGGAUGAUCAGCCACACUGGAACUGAGACACGGUCCAGACUCCUACGGGAGGCAGCAGUGGGGAAUAUUGGACAAUGGGCGCAAGCCUGAUCCAGCUAUGCCGCGUGAGUGAGGAAGGCCUUAGGGUUGUAAAACUCUUUCAGUGGGGAAGAUAAUGACGGUACCCACAGAAGAAGUCCCGGCAAACUCCGUGCCAGCAGCCGCGGUAAUACGGAGGGGGCAAGCGUUGUUCGGAAUUAUUGGGCGUAAAGGGCAUGUAGGUGGUUUGGUUAGUUAAAGGUGAAAUGCCAGGGCUUAACCG
RNAcentral lists this ribosomal RNA (477 nucleotides) under Anaplasma bovis. Its description in RNAcentral is "bacterial SSU rRNA". It matches the Rfam family "Bacterial small subunit ribosomal RNA", at positions 103 to 615 of the family's 1533-position model. The record is from RNAcentral. Lineage: Bacteria; Pseudomonadati; Pseudomonadota; Alphaproteobacteria; Rickettsiales; Anaplasmataceae.